UGGAUCCAGCGACCAGCGACA
RNAcentral lists this non-coding RNA (21 nucleotides) under Arabidopsis thaliana (thale cress). Lineage: Eukaryota; Viridiplantae; Streptophyta; Magnoliopsida; Brassicales; Brassicaceae. The record is from RNAcentral.